CCAUGAAGCUGGAUUCGCUAGUAAUCGCGCAUCAGCCACGGCGCGGUGAAUACGUUCCCGGGCCUUGUACACACCGCCCGUCAAGCCAUGGAAGCCGGGAGUGCCUGAAGUGCGUGAGCGCAAGCAGCGCCCUAAGGUAAAACCGGUGACUGGGGCUAAGUCGUAACAAGGUAUC
This 175-nucleotide ribosomal RNA is filed under the name uncultured bacterium. RNAcentral's name for it is "partial 16S ribosomal RNA". It matches the Rfam family "Bacterial small subunit ribosomal RNA", at positions 1318 to 1500 of the family's 1533-position model. The record is from RNAcentral.